This 491-nucleotide ribosomal RNA is filed under the name uncultured bacterium. RNAcentral describes it as "partial 16S ribosomal RNA". It matches the Rfam family "Bacterial small subunit ribosomal RNA", at positions 29 to 507 of the family's 1533-position model. The record is from RNAcentral.
GUGAACGCUGGCGGUAGGCCUAACACAUACAAGUCGAACGGCAGCACAGUAAGAGCUUGCUCUUACGGGUGGCGAGUGGCGGACGGGUGAGGAAUACAUCGGAAUCUACUUUUUCGUGGGGGAUAACGUAGGGAAACUUACGCUAAUACCGCAUACGACCUACGGGUGAAAGCAGGGGAUCUUCGGACCUUGCGCGAUUGAAUGAGCCGAUGUCGGAUUAGCUAGUUGGCGGGGUAAAGGCCCACCAAGGCGACGAUCCGUAGCUGGUCUGAGAGGAUGAUCAGCCACACUGGAACUGAGACACGGUCCAGACUCCUACGGGAGGCAGCAGUGGGGAAUAUUGGACAAUGGGCGCAAGCCUGAUCCAGCCAUACCGCGUGGGUGAAGAAGGCCUUCGGGUUGUAAAGCCCUUUUGUUGGGAAAGAAAAGCAGCAGGUUAAUACCCCGCUGUUCUGACGGUACCCAAAGAAUAAGCACCGGCUAACUUCGUG